RNAcentral lists this ribosomal RNA (264 nucleotides) under uncultured bacterium. RNAcentral's name for it is "partial 16S ribosomal RNA". It matches the Rfam family "Bacterial small subunit ribosomal RNA", at positions 793 to 1055 of the family's 1533-position model. The record is from RNAcentral.
GUCCAUGCUGUAAACGAUGAAGACUGGCUGUUGGGUGCCCUUGGGCACUUAGUAGCGAAGCUAACGCGUUAAGUCUUCCGCCUGGGGAGUACGGCCGCAAGGUUAAAACUCAAAGGAAUUGACGGGGGCCCGCACAAGCGGUGGAACAUGUGGUUUAAUUCGACGCAACGCGAAGAACCUUACCUACCCUUGACAUGCUCGGAAUCUGCUAGAGAUAGUGGAGUGCCUUCGGGAACCGAGACACAGGUGCUGCAUGGCUGUCGU